RNAcentral lists this ribosomal RNA (372 nucleotides) under uncultured organism. RNAcentral's name for it is "bacterial SSU rRNA". It matches the Rfam family "Bacterial small subunit ribosomal RNA", at positions 526 to 896 of the family's 1533-position model. The record is from RNAcentral.
CGUAGGUGGCGAGCGUUGUCCGGAUUUACUGGGCGUAAAGGGCGUGCAGGCGGUCUGUUAAGUCUAGGGUGAAAGCUCCCGGCUCAACUGGGAGAGGUCCUUGGAUACUGGCAGACUUGAGGAGAGUAGAGGAGAGUGGAAUUCCCGGUGUAGUGGUGAUAUGCGUAGAUAUCGGGAGGAACACCAGUGGCGAAGGCGGCUCUCUGGGCUCUACCUGACGCUGAGACGCGAAAGCGUGGGGAGCGAACCGGAUUAGAUACCCGGGUAGUCCACGCCGUAAACUAUGGACACUAGGUGUGGGGGGUAUCGACCCCCUCCGUGCCGCAGCUAGCGCAAUAAGUGUCCCGCCUGGGGAGUACGGCCGCAAGGCUA